AGUAAAUCAUCACAAAUCAAAACAGUUUAGACUGAAAAUCGACAACAACUGCAAUAUAUGAACAAAAUGAAUCCAACACACAAUACACACUUGUCCUUUGAGAGGUGGUGCUAAUUAAUUAAUUAAUUAAUUAAUUAAUUAAUUAUAAUUCAUUUAACAUUUCCCCCAACAUAGUAAACAAACCAGAAACUUUUCCUUCUCCUUCUUCUUCUCCUUCUCCUUCUCCUUCUUCAGCUUCUUCUUCUUCUUCACAUUCUUCUUCUUCUUCUUCUUCCUCUUCUUCUUCGCCCUCUGCGCAAACCCCUCCCGCCUUUUUGUUACGUUUGCCGCCCUUACCGCCGCCGCCGCCCAUCUUCUUCUUGACUUUGUGCAUCAUUUCCUUCAUGUGCUCGCGGUGGCCGCCGCCCUUGUGCUCCUCCUUGUGCUCGGCCACCUCCUCCUCCUCAUCCUUCUUGUGGCCAAGGUGCAGUUUCGCCUCUAGUUUAUGAACGAGUCUUGACAUUAUUUUUUCGUUUCUCUCUCUCUUUCUUUUUUUUUCUUGAUAAAUAGUUUCUCUCUCUAUAUUUUCUCUCUAAUGUCUAUAUGUUUAUUUUUUU
This 596-nucleotide long non-coding RNA is filed under the name Erythranthe guttata (spotted monkey flower). RNAcentral's name for it is "long non-coding RNA (EGUT_LNC002309)". The record is from RNAcentral. Lineage: Eukaryota; Viridiplantae; Streptophyta; Magnoliopsida; Lamiales; Phrymaceae.